ACGUGAGUGGCUCAAUUGGUAGAGCAGCGGUCUCCAAAACCGCAGGUUGGGGGUUCGAGUCCCUCCUCACGUG
RNAcentral lists this transfer RNA (73 nucleotides) under Melioribacteraceae bacterium. RNAcentral describes it as "tRNA-Trp". It matches the Rfam family "tRNA". Rfam says of the family: Transfer RNA (tRNA) molecules are approximately 80 nucleotides in length. Their secondary structure includes four short double-helical elements and three loops (D, anti-codon, and T loops). Further hydrogen bonds mediate the characteristic L-shaped molecular structure. tRNAs have two regions of fundamental functional importance: the anti-codon, which is responsible for specific mRNA codon recognition, and the 3' end, to which the tRNAs corresponding amino acid is attached (by aminoacyl-tRNA synthetases). tRNAs cope with the degeneracy of the genetic code in two manners: having more than one tRNA (with a specific anti-codon) for a particular amino acid; and 'wobble' base-pairing, i.e. permitting non-standard base-pairing at the 3rd anti-codon position. Lineage: Bacteria; Pseudomonadati; Ignavibacteriota; Ignavibacteria; Ignavibacteriales; Melioribacteraceae. The record is from RNAcentral.